GAGGGUGGCAGAGCCCAGCCACCAGGGUCUGCUCCAUGCCUGGUCCCUGGAGAGGCCCUCACCCUCUCUGCUUUCACCCAACCCGACUGACACGGAGUAGGAGGUGGGAAUCAUGCAGGCAGGGAGCUUAGGAAGCCUGGUUCAAGAUUGCUUUGAAUGGCAGGCCCCCUGCUGUGCUCCUGGGGAGAGAGCCUGAAACCUGGAUGCUCGGGAGCCCCUCAGAUCCGUCAUCUGUCCCCGACACCCCUGUGAUCCUGAAACUGAGGCUCAGAGAGCAGAAGCAGCUUGGCCAAAGUCAUACAACUGGUAGUUGGUAAAGGAGCUGGCCUUGAACUCAGGGAUAUCUUGAAAGCCACUGUUGCUUCUAUGGACUCUAGCCAUUCAAAAGACCCCUCACCUUCUAUAAGACCCCAGGAGAUCCUCAGGGUCCAACUGCUCCCUUGAAAACAGGUCCCAGAUAUAUCUGCCAAAGGUAUGAUUAGGUGCCUAAACACAUACCAUGAGAAAGGGAUUCCAUGUCUUCCAAUCCUGCCCAGAGAUGCAGAGACACCACCACCCAGGGAGAGAUAGCCAGAAACUAAAAUAAGAUGUUAGAGACAGGUGGUUGAUAGUGACAGAUACAGCCACACCAAGACAGGCUCAAAGGGAGGAAGACUGAGGGGAAGCCAGAGACAGAGAGGGACACAUUAGGCCAAAGAAUGAGAGAGAUAGCUGGAAAAGGAGACAAUAGGAGUAGAGGAGGGUACAGGCUGACAUGAAAAAACACCGACAGAUACACUCCAGUAUGCAGACAGACACAUAUAGACCCAUCUGACCUUCACAAGAAACAGACUGUGAAAGCAAGCAAGGCUCAGGCUGUGUGUGGUGUGCGUAUGUGUGUGUGCGUAUUGUGGGGGGAGCAUGCAGAGUCUGUAUAGCUACGCACAUUACACCAGCUGCUUCCAGCAAUUUCAUCUGAUUAAUAAUAAAUGCCCCAUAAUUACAGCCGCUC
RNAcentral lists this long non-coding RNA (991 nucleotides) under Homo sapiens (human). RNAcentral describes it as "non-protein coding CNTFR-AS1:2". The record is from RNAcentral. Lineage: Eukaryota; Metazoa; Chordata; Mammalia; Primates; Hominidae.